GCUAUACAUGCAAGUCGAACGCACAGCGAAAGGUGCUUGCACCUUUCAAGUGAGUGGCGAACGGGUGAGUAACACGUGGACAACCUGCCUCAAGGCUGGGGAUAACAUUUGGAAACAGAUGCUAAUACCGAAUAAAACUUAGUGUCGCAUGACACAAAGUUAAAAGGCGCUUCGGCGUCACCUAGAGAUGGAUCCGCGGUGCAUUAGUUAGUUGGUGGGGUAAAGGCCUACCAAGACAAUGAUGCAUAGCCGAGUUGAGAGACUGAUCGGCCACAUUGGGACUGAGACACGGCCCAAACUCCUACGGGAGGCUGCAGUAGGGAAUCUUCCACAAUGGGCGAAAGCCUGAUGGAGCAACGCCGCGUGUGUGAUGAAGGCUUUCGGGUCGUAAAGCACUGUUGUAUGGGAAGAACAGCUAGAAUAGGAAAUGAUUUUAGUUUGACGGUACCAUACCAGAAAGGGACGGCUAAAUACGUGCCAGCAGCCGCGGUAAUACGUAUGUCCCGAGCGUUAUCCGGAUUUAUUGGGCGUAAAGCGAGCGCAGACGGUUUAUUAAGUCUGAUGUGAAAGCCCGGAGCUCAACUCCGGAAUGGCAUUGGAAACUGGUUAACUUGAGUGCAGUAGAGGUAAGUGGAACUCCAUGUGUAGCGGUGGAAUGCGUAGAUAUAUGGAAGAACACCAGUGGCGAAGGCGGCUUACUGGACUGCAACUGACGUUGAGGCUCGAAAGUGUGGGUAGCAAACAGGAUUAGAUACCCUGGUAGUCCACACCGUAAACGAUGAACACUAGGUGUUAGGAGGUUUCCGCCUCUUAGUGCCGAAGCUAACGCAUUAAGUGUUCCGCCUGGGGAGUACGACCGCAAGGUUGAAACUCAAAGGAAUUGACGGGGACCCGCACAAGCGGUGGAGCAUGUGGUUUAAUUCGAAGCAACGCGAGAACCUUACCAGGUCUUGACUUCCUUUGAAGCUUUUAGAGAUAGAAGUGUUCUCUUCGGAAAAAAGUGACGGGGGGGGCUGGCCGUCGUCAGCUCGUGUCGUGAGAUGUUGGGGUAAGUCCCGCACGAGCGCACCCUAUGUAGUUGCAGCAUCAA
This 1090-nucleotide ribosomal RNA is filed under the name Leuconostoc mesenteroides. RNAcentral describes it as "bacterial SSU rRNA". It matches the Rfam family "Bacterial small subunit ribosomal RNA", at positions 48 to 1124 of the family's 1533-position model. Lineage: Bacteria; Bacillati; Bacillota; Bacilli; Lactobacillales; Lactobacillaceae. The record is from RNAcentral.